Molecule: long non-coding RNA, 1041 nt
Organism: Bos indicus x Bos taurus (hybrid cattle)
Lineage: Eukaryota; Metazoa; Chordata; Mammalia; Artiodactyla; Bovidae
Source: Ensembl
AUGAAACAGUCUAAAUUGGUAGAGAUGUUACACUCCUGCACAUGCCCUUAUGCUUGUUUUUGGCAUUUCUUUCACCAAAGGCACUGGAUAGGAGAAGGAAGGGAGGAGAGUAAACAAGACCGGAAAAAAGAGAAGAGAGAUGAAUGCUGAUUUGGCUACUUGGGGAUCUAGUUUGUGAAGUUUCUCAGUGGAUCUGAGGACCACAGUGUUUGGAAACCACAGGUGUGGAUAGAGGAAAAGUAUUCAGAAAAGCCAAAGAAUUGAUGCUUUUGAACAGUGGUGCUGGAAAAGACUCUGGAGAGUCUCUUGGACUGCAAGAAGAUUCUAUCAGUCCAUCCUAAAGGAAAUCAGUCCUAAAUAUUCAUUGGAAGGACUGAUGCUGAAGCUGAAACUCCUGUACUUUGGCCACCUGAUGUAAAGAACUGACUCACUGGAAAAAACCCUGAUGCUGGGAAACACUGAAGGCAGGAGGAGAAGGGGACAACAGAGGAUGAGAUGGUUGGAUGGCAUCACUGACUCAAUGGAUAUCAGUUUGAGUCAACUCUGGUAGUUUGUGAUGGACAGGGAGGCCAGGUGUGCUGGAGUCCAUGGGGUUGCAAAGAGUUGGACACAACUGAGUGACCGAACUGAUGCAGAUGAAGUCAAUCAUCAUCAAGAUGAGUAGUUUAAUCACAACAGUGGUGAUUUUGCUUGGGCCACACCCUAGCAUUACCAGGACAUUUUAAACACCUGGACAGCACCCAAACCAAUUAAAUCAGAAUCUGGAGGUGGUUCCAAGUGUCAGUAUUUCAAAAGCUCUGGAAAUGGUGCAGUGCGUAAAUAAGGCUGAGCACCCAUGAACUAAGGUAGGUUUAAAUUCCACAUUUUAAUUUUUUUUUUUUUAGAAAAAUGCUUCUAAGGUUUUAGAUGAUGGCAAAUUGACAUAAAAAUAGCACAUUAAGAAGAACAUUGUGAGAAGUGUGCUUAACUGACCCAGUGUUAUCUUUCGCUGCCCUUUUUUAUAUGGAUGAAUAAAGACAGAUAGGAGUUAAUUGCUCUUCA